AAGAGAGAGGGAGAGUGUUAAUGUGUGUAUGCGUGUCUGCUAUUUUUCUAUCCUCUGAUGUGCUUACCACCACAUUGACAGCUUGAUGGAGGAUGGACACCUUUCUCACUUUCAUCUCUUUCCCUCGCCUUUUGUCCUUCUCCCCCCUCUCUCUCUCUCUUUCCCUCUCCCUCUCCUCUCAUUGACCUUGUAAAGGGAUGAGCUCACCAAGGCAGCUCUGCUGACGUCAUCCCCAACCUGCGAUCGCUAGAUACCACCAACCCCCUGAUGCCUUCAGCUUCAAUAAUCACAUCACUCUCCUUAGAAUCCACCACUCACAGUGCUUCACUCCAGCUCCAUCGAAGAUGGGGGGCGGCUUUCUUCCGCAGCUAGCACAUAACGUUCUGAGAACCAUAUGUUUCUUCGAGCUUGGCGAGAGCCUAGAUUUCCUAUGGUUAUUUUUGCAUUCAACCUUCCCACAAUUAUCUGGGAAAUGGUGCACAGUACUUGCUUUGCUUUUGGAAAAUUCUCAGCACAUUUUUUAAAAUGUCUUUUUUCUUGGUUAUUUCAUUACUUUAACAGAAGGUUUCCUAAAAGUUCAAACAUGGUUACAUUUAAUUCAAGGAAUGUUUUCCUACUGGUUUGACGUUGAGAAUGUUCUCAAAAAGUUCAGAGAACGUUUAAAAAAAAAAAUUUAGUACUUCACAGUGAAACCAAGUUUCCUCUUGGUUCUAUUUAAAGUCAUGUAAUCAAAUUAUUCCAAGAAUGUUAAGAAAACGUUCCAUAAAAACCACAAGAAAUCUUAAGUAACAUUCAGAGAAUGUUCUAAGAAUGUUAUUUAAAAACAUACAUUCCAUUCCCAGCAUCAACAAAACUCUUUCUAUCCUCUAUUUUGUUGUGUGUUCAGGUGUUGGCUGCGCCCACUAAAUGGCCACACACUGAAAAAAUGAGGGGUUCAACAAGAGUUCUUCUAAGAUCUUCAAAGUUCUUCGAAGAACCUUAGGGUUCUUGGCAUUGAAAAUUCCCCCCCCCCAAAAGGUUAUUCCAAAAACCCCAUAGAAGGUGGAGUUCAUUGAAGGAACCUCCUUGGUUGGUGGGUGGUUCUUGCAGGAACCUAACUGCCCAACUGAAACAUUUCAAUUUGAAAGGACAUCAGGUGCAGGCCACUUUAACUGAAACACGUAAAGAUCUCCUCAAUUUAAGGUAAGGUUUGUCCCUCGUAUGAUCUAAAUUGAUAUUGUUGUAUGAUGAUACCAUCUAUCUUUUGCUAUUUGUCCCAAUCUUUCUAAAAACAGAAAAUGGACACAAUUCAAUGGAUAUCAAUCAACAACAAGGUAUACAGAUGAGGAGGCACGCAAAGACGUCACCCUCCCUACACCACUGCAAAAUCAUCCUGGCUAUGGAUAUGGAGAACAUUUAACAUCAACACGCCAGAGGAUAUAGCCAUUGGACUUGGGGCUCUGCUGGGAGUUUACCUCAUUUCGAUUUUAUAUCUUCUGUUUAGCCACUAAAAUCAUAAUAACCACUGAGAACUAAAAUAGUGACUUAUUGUUAUGCAUAUUAAUAGUAUUAUUAAUCGUAAUAAUAGGGGAGGGGGGUAAUUAACACAUUUAACCCAAAAGGUUCUUCAAAAGGUUCUUUUGAGGAUCCAUUAAAAUAG
This is a long non-coding RNA of Oncorhynchus kisutch (coho salmon), 1639 nucleotides long. RefSeq lists it as uncharacterized. The record is from RefSeq and is a predicted model, not a curated record. The transcript is spliced from 3 exons. Lineage: Eukaryota; Metazoa; Chordata; Actinopteri; Salmoniformes; Salmonidae.